ACAUCGCCUCUUGCAUCCCAAAGUAUAAGAGGUCCCACCUGCCCUGUGACUCUAAGUUUAACGGCCGCGGUAUUCUAACCGUGCGAAGGUAGCGCAAUCAAUUGCCUUUUAAAUGAAGGCCUGUAUGAAUGGUAUAACGAGGGUCUGACUGUCUCUUUUUUCUAGUCAGUUAAACUGAUCUGUCCGUGCAGAAGCGGACAUUAUUAUACAAGACGAGAAGACCCUAUGGAGCUUUAGACACUAGCCAACUGUGAAUGAGCGACUGAACUAUACAAGUCUUAAAUACCCACAGCCUCUGGUAAUGUAGUCUUAGGUUGGGGCGACCACGGGAGAAAAUAAAGCUCCCAAGCAGACGGGGAAAACCCUUAAGCCCAGAGUUGCAACUCUAAGCCGCAAAAAUUUUGACUGAAAUGAUCCGGUUGAAAAACCGAUUAACGAACCAAGUUACCCUAGGGAUAACAGCGCAAUCCUCUCCCAGAGUCCCUAUCGACGAGGGGGUUUACGACCUCGAUGUUGGAUCAGGACAUCCUAAUGGUGCAGCCGCUAUUAAGGGUUCGUUUGUUCAACGAUUAAAGUCCUACGUGAUCU
This 588-nucleotide ribosomal RNA is filed under the name Engraulis mordax (northern anchovy). RNAcentral describes it as "partial 16S ribosomal RNA". It matches the Rfam family "Bacterial large subunit ribosomal RNA", at positions 1813 to 2606 of the family's 2925-position model. The record is from RNAcentral. Lineage: Eukaryota; Metazoa; Chordata; Actinopteri; Clupeiformes; Engraulidae.